RNAcentral lists this ribosomal RNA (253 nucleotides) under uncultured bacterium. RNAcentral's name for it is "partial 16S ribosomal RNA". It matches the Rfam family "Bacterial small subunit ribosomal RNA", at positions 524 to 776 of the family's 1533-position model. The record is from RNAcentral.
CACGUAGGGGGCAAGCGUUGUCCGGAAUCAUUGGGCGUAAAGCGCGCGUAGGCGGCCCCAUAAGUCCGCUGUGAAAGUCAAAGGCUCAACCUUUGAAAGCCGGUGGAUACUGUGGGGCUAGAGUACGGAAGAGGCGAGUGGAAUUCCUGGUGUAGCGGUGGAAUGCGCAGAUAUCAGGAGGAACACCAAUAGCGAAGGCAGCUCGCUGGGACGUCACUGACGCUGAGGCGCGAAAGCGUGGGGAGCGAACAGG